Molecule: small RNA, 658 nt
Filed under: Pan troglodytes (chimpanzee)
Lineage: Eukaryota; Metazoa; Chordata; Mammalia; Primates; Hominidae
Description: retained intron
Source: RNAcentral
AGAGCCGGGAACCCUGACAGCACUUGGCUGCUGACAAACAACCUGCUCCGUGGAGCGCCUGAAACACCAGUCUUUGGGGCCAGUGCCUCAGUUUCAAUCCAGGUAACCUUUAAAUGAAACUUGCCUAAAAUCUUAGGUCAUACACAGAAGAGACUCCAAUCGACAAGAAGCUGGAAAAGAAUGAUGUUGUCCUUAAACAACCUACAGAAUAUCAUCUAUAACCCGGUAAUCCCGUAUGUUGGCACCAUUCCUGAUCAGCUGGAUCCUGGAAGUUUGAUUGUGAUACGUGGGCAUGUUCCUAGUGACGCGGACAGAUUCCAGGUGGAUCUGCAGAAUGGCAGCAGCGUGAAACCUCGAGCCGAUGUGGCCUUUCAUUUCAAUCCUCGUUUCAAAAGGGCCGGCUGCAUUGUUUGCAAUACCUUGAUAAAUGAGAAAUGGGGACGGGAAGAGAUCACCUAUGACACGCCUUUCAAAAGAGAAAAGUCUUUUGAGAUCGUGAUUAUGGUGCUCAAGGACAAAUUCCAGGUAGGUUUUGGAGAGGGACAGGUUGAGUCCUCAUUAGUGAGCAGGAGUGCACAGGGGUGCUUUUCACAUUUGUGAGCCCAGCCUUAUAUUUCCUACACCUGAGAUAUAGUUUGUUUGGCUUUGUAGUUUUUCU